RNAcentral lists this ribosomal RNA (250 nucleotides) under uncultured bacterium. RNAcentral describes it as "partial 16S ribosomal RNA". It matches the Rfam family "Bacterial small subunit ribosomal RNA", at positions 92 to 339 of the family's 1533-position model. The record is from RNAcentral.
UUAGUGGCGGACGGGUGAGUAAAGCGUGAGCAACCUGCCUAUUAGAGGGGGAUAACGUUCGGAAACGGAUGCUAAUACCGCAUAUAGUACAUAAUUCGCAUGAAUAAGUGUAUGAAAGGAGCAAUCCGCUGAUAGAUGGGCUCACGUCCGAUUAGUUAGUUGGUGAGGUAAAGGCUCACCAAGACCACGAUCGGUAGCCGGGCUGAGAGGCUGAACGGCCACAUUGGGACUGAGAUACGGCCCAGACUCC